UGCAUGUCUAAGUACAGGCCUACCUAAGGCGAAACCGCGAAUGGCUCAUUAAAUCAGUCAUGAUUCAUUGGAUGUUGAGUAAAAUCAUUUCCAAGGAAAUCUUUUACUCGGAUAACUGUGGUAAUUCUAGAGCUAAUACAGGCAGUUGAGCUCCGACCCCCUUUUCGGAUAACCUUUUCGGAGGCCCGUUAAGGGGGGAAGGGCGCUUUUAUUAGAAUCAAAGACCGACGGCAAGGCGGAGACUUCGGUCGCGUCGAAAUCCAAAACGGUAUAUGAUGACUCUGAAUAACCACGCCGAGCGCUGAGGUCUUAAGAACCGGCGCCGUAUCCUUCGAGUGUCUGCCUUAUCAGCUUUCGAUUGUAGGUUAUACGCCUACAAUGGCUGUAACGGGUAACGGGGAAUUAGGGUUCGAUUCCGGAGAGGGAGCCUGAGAAACGGCUACCACAUCUAAGGAAGGCAGCAGGCACGCAAAUUACCCACUCCCGGCACGGGGAGGUAGUGACGAAAAAUAACGAUGCGGGACUCUUCCGAGGCCUCGCAAUCGGAAUGAGUUCGCUUUAAAUCCUCGAACGAGGAUCCAUUGGAGGGCAAGUCUGGUGCCAGCAGCCGCGGUAAUUCCAGCUCCAAUAGCGUAUAUUA
This 640-nucleotide ribosomal RNA is filed under the name Ligia sp. 1 MJ-2015. RNAcentral describes it as "bacterial SSU rRNA". It matches the Rfam family "Eukaryotic small subunit ribosomal RNA", at positions 52 to 606 of the family's 1831-position model. The record is from RNAcentral. Lineage: Eukaryota; Metazoa; Arthropoda; Malacostraca; Isopoda; Ligiidae.